Molecule: long non-coding RNA, 4047 nt
Organism: Apodemus sylvaticus (European woodmouse)
Lineage: Eukaryota; Metazoa; Chordata; Mammalia; Rodentia; Muridae
Exons: 3
Source: RefSeq, a predicted model, not a curated record
GACCCUGUGUAGACAAGAGCAGCGAGCUGUGUUUAGGUUGGAGCUAGGAGGACAUGGCCUGAACUACCUGCACUGGCCUGGGGUGUGGGGAUGGGGUCAUUCCUACCCUGGGGUACCCUAGGGGAAGCCAGAGGCCGGAUGGGUGGUCGGGAUAGGGUGUAAGUUCGAGUCUUGAUUAUCCCUGUAGUUGGGGAAAGUCCCCAUUCCCAGCAGGGUGUGUUCAUUUGAAACUUGUGGCGGUCCAAUCCUACAGAACAGGCCCUAGAAGUUCACCCAUCUUCUGCUUGGGGAUCUGGAGGGAAAGAUGGAGUGCACGACCUCCUAAAUCCUCAUUUAGCUGAUGGACAGGAUUAGGUGACCACUAGCUCAAGAUCCCGCUUCUCUGAGAUUGAGAGAAAAAACAGCCUGGACCUUCCCAAUCGACUUCAAGGCUCUCUGCCCAGACGGCUCUGCGGGAGAGGGCAGCCCGAGGGUGGCAGUGUGGACCUAGCAAGCUAGAGAGAGCACAGCACACGUCUGGGCAUUGCUGGGCACCUGCCUGGAUGUAGCCACUGAGGAAACACCUGUCCAAGGCCACACAGCUGGGGCCAGAAGCAACUCCCCAGUUGUCUACUCUCCUAUCCUCAUCGGCUUCUGCUCAAUCCCCCGGACCUUGGAACAGAGGGUCCCGCACUUACACAGGCCAUGACUGAAGCGAAGAGAUUCCUGCGACCUGCUCCUCCAGCUGUCAGAAGACUCCACCCGAGAGAUGGGCCCCAGGCCCGCGUCGACCUUUUAACUGGAUCAGACCCGACUCCGCCUGACUCAGCCUUCCUGACCUGGCCAUCACCCUUCUAAGCCAAAGGCACAAAGAUAAGUUACUGUCUCAAACAUGCAGAGCAAAGCCUUGUAGGAGAACGCCUCUCUGCAUGGGGCAAGUGUUCCUGAGGUCACUCCAUACACCCAGAAACAGGAGUGACCCUCUCCUGAGAACCCCCAUGUCCCCUUAAGCAACACGACUUCUUCAAGCCAUCUUACAGGGCCAGUCUGCUCAGCUGUGCGUAAUAUCUCUUGCUAUUUGUGCCUAUUCUUCCAAUAUUUAAACUUAAAAUAUGUGGUGGCUCAUGCUGUGACACCAGCACUUGGAAACUGAGGCAGGAGGAUUAGGAAUUCAAGACCGCCAUCUGCUACAUGAGACCCUGGCUCAAAAAAAAAAAAAGUUAGCAGCUAGCCAGGCAGUGGUAGUACACACCGUUGAUCCCAGCAUUCAGGAUAUAGACACAGGCAGGUCUCUGUGAGUUCGAGGCCAGACUGGUUUACAGAUGGAAGAUCCAGGAUAACCAGCACUACAUGGAGAAAUCCCGUCAUGGAGAGUAAACCAAACCAAACCAACCAAACAAACAAACAAAAAUUAACAGCUAAAACAGCAAUGACUGCCUCUCCAAAAGCCAACACACAUCAGUACCCCAAAACAGACUUGGGGUUACUGAUACUCUUGAUCUGUUCCCUUUCCAGGUGUGGCCACAUUGAAUAGAUUCUUCUGUGUUUCCUGCCCGUUGUCCCCUUCGCCUCCUUUUAGACAAGAGUCUUACGCAUUCCAGCCUCACCUCAGACUUGCUGUGUUAAGGAUGACCUUAAACCUCUGAUCCUCCUGCUCCUGCCUCUCAAGUUCUGGGGUUUCAGGCCUGUGACAACUGUCUUGUUGGGGACUGACAAGUGCUAAGUGAGCAUUCAACCAACUGGUCAUCUCUAAUUGGUGUAGAGGCCAAGCUCUGUUGGUUGACUGCCAGAGUCCCCUCUCCUACCCUAAAUCUCUGGUUAGUUAGAGGGCUGUUCAGCUCACACUGGGGAAUCGAGUGUUGAGGGCAACAGGGACUCCAUGUUGCUAUUCCCCUUCUGAAACAGUUGGGAAGAUAAGGGGUCACGAGUCACAUCUGGAGGCGGCCAGCAGUCCUCCUUGCCCUACCCAGCCUUUCCCUCGCGGGCUCAUCUCUAGAUCCUUCCUCCAGAUGUGGAAAGCCCGCCCAGGAUGGGAGGGAAACCUAUAGGGCCCGGGGGAGAUGCUGUCAGAUCUGGAAUGAGGCUGGGCUGCCCCAUCAUCCCCAGACCCGCCCUCAAGUAACCACACUCAGUCUUUCCUCUGAGGUCUGCACAGACUUCAGUUAUGGGGCAGGACUGUCGGGGCCCUGGCCAGUUAAUUCCUCUACAAUUCCAACUGUGUGUGUGUGUGUGUGUGUGUGUGUGUGUGCCCUUCUCUCACAUCAGGAACAGGACAAACACAUCAGGCAGGGUUCCAGACAGAGGAGCAGAGGUGAGGCAGGCAGUUGCCAGGCCAACCCAGGGGCUGGGAGCUCAGGGUACCAGGAGCUGUCCCCACCUGGUCAUGACCUGAAUAGAAGACCAGCACCACCGGGAAGUGUCUGAGGCGGGGGCACUUCUCUGUAGUUGCUGUCUGAGCAGCCUGGCCAUGGAGGAGCACGGUGUGAGGAGCAGUCAGUCUCCUGACAGGGCCUGGAGACUCUGGUUUUGCUUCCAGCCUGCUUAUUCAGCCUCUGUUUGCAGCUGUAUGUACAGUGUAAGUGUAACGCAUAGGCCAGGACUCAGGUCUGAGCCGCUUCACGGGUGACCUUUGUCUUGAGACAGUCUUACUCUGAAGCCCAGGCUGGUCUGGAAUUUGAAGCAGUCCUGCCUGGGAUAACAGUGUGUGUUCAGCAUACCUAGCCGAGCCCAGGUUUUAUAGUCCCCUUGUGGCUUCUUUCAAGGUUACCUUCCUUGGUGUCUGGUAGACCCUCUCCUGUUCCUCUCCCACCCGAGCUGUGGUAUGGAUUUGCCAGAUGCUAAUAGCCCCUGUAACGGGCACUAUGGUUUUUAAGGCUGGGUGGACAGAGAUAAAGUCCCUUCUGUGCCCCACACCCCGAAGUACUCAGGGACUCCUGGUGGUGGCACCCACUUAUCUGUCAGGCCCAGUGCCCGGCGCCUUGCUUUCAAAGGCUAUCUCAUUUGAGCAUAUCAUCUCUCCUUAGUGUCUGCCCACCUGGUGAAUGUCUGUCCAGGGAACAGCAGCUGUGGCCUAGAUCCCAAACAGAGGCAAGGCGGAGAACAGAGGCAAGCGUGGAUUUGGGGGCUGUAGCCCUGGGUGUUGGUUAUUCUGAAUAAUGUCUACAUUCUAGAAGGUAGCAGUAUGCGGACCAUUCCAGGGUGAGUCGAGGAUUGCAGGUAUUGAGGUAGAAUGGUUUUUUUCCUUCCUUGUUUCCUAAGGCCAAAGGCGGGCCCUGAGGAGGAUUCUCCCUCAGGCUCCUGCAGUGGUCAGCAGAGUCCUCUGGAAUUCUGUUCAGAAGCCCAGCCCUCUGAUGUGGGCGUAGCUUACCCACAUAGGUCCCAGCCAGCAGCUCCUACCCCUCCCUGAUGGUCUACACCGCUUGCAGCCAGCAGUGGCAGUGAGCCAUGGGGCUCACAGGUCCCAACCACAGCACCCACUAAGCUGGCUCCAACACGGAGUCCUCGAAGUCAGAGCAGGGAGGCACCCCAGAGGUGCCGUGACCCAUCCCCCCACAUCUUAUGAUGCAGUUUAAGGAUGUGGAAACCAGAGAGGGAGGCUACUUGGCUGUGCUCUCUGGGAGCUCUCUGGGGCUGAGGAGAACAUGGACCUGGGCACCAGGACUUGAAAGCUGUUUGAAGGGUAGAAGGGCAGCUUGUGCUGGCUCCCCUGCUGUGCCUCCUUGCUGCCGCUCCCAUCCCACUUUUCCAGGCAGUCAUCUCUCUCAUGAGUUUGUUUCCUACUUGGGGUCUGUCCUCUUCUGAUCCCAGGCCGCAACCUCCAGGGCUCAGGCCUAAGCCUCUUUAUAUGUUUUAGAGUGUUAGUUUGAAAUUAUUGCAUUAGAGCUGGAGAGAUGGCUCAGUGGUUAAGAGCACUGACUGCUCUUCCAAAAGUCCUCAGUUCAAAUCCCAGCAACCACAUGGUAGCUCACAACCAUCUGUAAUGAAAUCUGAGGCCCUCUUCUAGUGUGUCAGAAGACAGCUACAGUGUACUUAGAUGUAACAAUAAAUCUUUAAAGAAAAAAAAAAAAA